RNAcentral lists this ribosomal RNA (437 nucleotides) under uncultured Oscillospiraceae bacterium. RNAcentral's name for it is "partial 16S ribosomal RNA". It matches the Rfam family "Bacterial small subunit ribosomal RNA", at positions 341 to 792 of the family's 1533-position model. The record is from RNAcentral. Lineage: Bacteria; Bacillati; Bacillota; Clostridia; Eubacteriales; Oscillospiraceae.
ACGGGAGGCAGCAGUGGGGAAUAUUGGGCAAUGGGGGAAACCCUGACCCAGCAACGCCGCGUGAAGGAAGAAGGCUUUCGGGUUGUAAACUUCUUUUAAGAGGGGCGAACACAAUGACGGUACCUCUUGAAUAAGCCACGGCUAACUACGUGCCAGCAGCCGCGGUAAUACGUAGGUGGCGAGCGUUAUCCGGAUUUACUGGGUGUAAAGGGCGCGUAGGCGGAGCGGCAAGUCAGAUGUGAAAUCCAUGGGCUUAACCCAUGAACUGCAUUUGAAACUGUCGCCCUUGAGUGUCGGAGAGGUAGACGGAAUUCCUAGUGUAGCGGUGAAAUGCGUAGAUAUUAGGAGGAACACCAGUGGCGAAGGCGGUCUACUGGACGAUAACUGACGCUGAGGCGCGAAAGCGUGGGGAGCAAACAGGAUUAGAUACCCUGGUA